This 130-nucleotide non-coding RNA is filed under the name Methylotuvimicrobium alcaliphilum. RNAcentral also lists the same sequence under 1 other name. The record is from RNAcentral. Lineage: Bacteria; Pseudomonadati; Pseudomonadota; Gammaproteobacteria; Methylococcales; Methylococcaceae.
AUCCCCAGCUUGUUUUACGGUUCCCGCACUGCGCGGGUGAAACUGGAAGCCGGUUAAAGGCCGGCGCUGCCCCCGCAACGGUAGGUGAUUUUUCACGAGCCCGGAGACAGGCCCUAAAACUUAGGCGAUU